Molecule: ribosomal RNA, 253 nt
Filed under: uncultured bacterium
Lineage: Bacteria
Description: partial 16S ribosomal RNA
Rfam family: Bacterial small subunit ribosomal RNA
Source: RNAcentral
UACGUAGGGUGCGAGCGUUAAUCGGAGUUACUGGGCGUAAAGUGUGCGCAGGCGGCUUCGCAAGUCGAGUGUGAAAUCCCCGAGCUUAACUUGGGAAUUGCGCUCGAAACUACGGAGCUGGAGUGUGGCAGAGGAAGGUGGAAUUCCACGUGUAGCGGUGAAAUGCGUAGAGAUGUGGAGGAACACCGAUGGCGAAGGCAGCCUUCUGGGCCAACACUGACGCUCAUGCACGAAAGCGUGGGGAGCAAACAGG